GACGAACGCUGGCGGCGUGCUUAACACAUGCAAGUCGAACGAUAACGCCCGGGCUUGCUCGGUUUGAUUAGUGGCGAACGGGUGAGUAACACGUGAGUAACCUGCCCUUGACUUUGGGAUAACUUCAGGAAACCGGGGCUAAUACCGGAUAUGAGCUCCUGUUGCAUGGCGGGUGUUGGAAAGUUUGGCGGGUAAGGAUGGGCUCGCGGCCUAUCAGCUUGUUGGUGAGGUAGUGGCUCACCAAGGCGAUGACGGGUAGCCGGCCUGAGAGGGGGACCGGCCACAUUGGGACUGAGAUACGGCCCAGACUCCUACGGGAGGCAGCAGUGGGGAAUAUUGCACAAUGGGCGGAAGCCUGAUGCAGCGACGCCGCGUGCGGGAUGACGGCCUUCGGGUUGUAAACCGCUUUCGCCUGGGACGAAGCGAAAGUGACGGUAAUUGCAGAAGAAGCGCCGGCUAACUACGUG
RNAcentral lists this ribosomal RNA (467 nucleotides) under uncultured bacterium. RNAcentral describes it as "partial 16S ribosomal RNA". It matches the Rfam family "Bacterial small subunit ribosomal RNA", at positions 28 to 507 of the family's 1533-position model. The record is from RNAcentral.